AUUGAACGCUGGCGGCAGGCUUAACACAUGCAGGUCGAGCGGAGUGAUGGUGCUUGCACUAUCACUUAGCGGCGGACGGGUGAGUAAUGCUUAGGAAUCUGCCUAUUAGUGGGGGACAACAUCUCGAAAGGGAUGCUAAUACCGCAUACGUCCUACGGGAGAAAGCAGGGGAUCACUUGUGACCUUGCGCUAAUAGAUGAGCCUAAGUCGGAUUAGCUAGUUGGUGGGGUAAAGGCCUACCAAGGCGACGAUCUGUAGCGGGUCUGAGAGGAUGAUCCGCCACACUGGGACUGAGACACGGCCCAGACUCCUACGGGAGGCAGCAGUGGGGAAUAUUGGACAAUGGGGGGAACCCUGAUCCAGCCAUGCCGCGUGUGUGAAGAAGGCCUUAUGGUUGUAAAGCACUUUAAGCGAGGAGGAGGCUCUUUUGGUUAAUACCCAAGAUGAGUGGACGUUACUCGCAGAAUAAGCACCGGCUAACUCUGUGCCAGCCGCCGCUGUAA
This 503-nucleotide ribosomal RNA is filed under the name uncultured bacterium. RNAcentral describes it as "partial 16S ribosomal RNA". It matches the Rfam family "Bacterial small subunit ribosomal RNA", at positions 30 to 523 of the family's 1533-position model. The record is from RNAcentral.